AUAAAAGCAAUGAAGGUGCAUAGUAGAUUAUAGUACUUUGACCAGAGAGAGAUUGUCAUCGGCUGAAAGCAGUCUUGCAAAAAGGCUAUUGAUUGAAGUUCACACUGAAGCUGCAUGGAUGAAGCACAGUAGUUCAUGACGUGUUAUGUACGUUACACAUAUCAAUGAGAGUCCAUUGGAUAUUUCUUCAAUGGAAAUCAGGGUGGUAUCGCGGAAUUUUCGUCCCUGCA
This 230-nucleotide non-coding RNA is filed under the name Agathobacter rectalis. RNAcentral's name for it is "Eubacterium rectale T-box sequence". It matches the Rfam family "T-box leader". From Rfam's summary of the family: Uncharged tRNA acts as the effector for transcription antitermination of genes in the T-box leader family. T-boxes are found upstream of many aminoacyl-tRNA synthetase genes and some amino acid biosynthetic genes usually in Gram-positive bacteria. The record is from RNAcentral. Lineage: Bacteria; Bacillati; Bacillota; Clostridia; Lachnospirales; Lachnospiraceae.